RNAcentral lists this long non-coding RNA (356 nucleotides) under Elaeis guineensis (African oil palm). RNAcentral describes it as "long non-coding RNA (EGUI_LNC056746)". Lineage: Eukaryota; Viridiplantae; Streptophyta; Magnoliopsida; Arecales; Arecaceae. The record is from RNAcentral.
GACGGACGUCGUAAUUUGCUAUAUUCAAGGAAACUACGACCGCGUCGUUAUGAGGGAAUUGGACUCCCUGAGUGUCUUCUUCGGUAAAGGUUAUGGGCUCUUCAGUCUUUUGCCGCUUGGGGGAUACAGCCGGUAUGUUGGUCGUUUCUUGCCGGGAUCCUCCCGAGAUGGUGUUGGCGGAAUCCGUCGGAGGCCGAUCGCCCGGCCACUCCAUGCCGGCGACCAUAGCCAGAGGAUGCGGGGCCUGGGAAACCAAAGGCGAGAUCGGGGUCCGAGAUAUGGCUGCGGAGGCCGUGGGUAGCUGUGCGGAUGCUUCGCGAGAAGGCAUCAGGCGAGGAUCCAGUGGGGGAAAGGAG